ACGGAAGGCAGCAGUGGGGGAUAUUGGGCAAUGGGCGCAAGCCUGACCCAGCAACGCCGCGUGAGCGAUGAAGGUCUUCGGAUCGUAAAGCUCUGUCCUUAGGGACGAAGAAGUGACGGUACCUAAGGAGGAAGCCCCGGCUAACUACGUGCUAGCAGCCGCGGUAAUACGUAGGGGGCGAGCGUUAUCCGGAAUUAUUGGGCGUAAAGAGUACGUAGGUGGUUUUGUAAGCGUAAGGUGAAAGCCUGGGGCUUAACUCCAGCGAGCCUUACGAACUGCAAGACUUGAGUGCAGGAGGGGAAAGUGGAACUCCUAGUGUAGCGGUGAAAUGCUUAGAUAUUAGGAAGAACAUCAGUGGCGAAGGCGACUUUCUGGACUGUAACUGACACUGAGGUACGAAAGCGUGGGGAGCAAACAGGAUUAGAUACCCUGGUA
RNAcentral lists this ribosomal RNA (435 nucleotides) under uncultured Anaerovorax sp. Its description in RNAcentral is "bacterial SSU rRNA". It matches the Rfam family "Bacterial small subunit ribosomal RNA", at positions 341 to 792 of the family's 1533-position model. Lineage: Bacteria; Bacillati; Bacillota; Clostridia; Peptostreptococcales; Anaerovoracaceae. The record is from RNAcentral.